UGGGGAAUUUUGCACAAUGGGGGAAACUCUGAUGCAGCGACGCCGCGUGAUUUAGAAGGCCUUCGGGUUGUAAAAAUCUUUUUUACGGGAUGAAAAUGACAGUACCGUAAGAAUAAGGUCCGGCUAAAUACGUGCCAGCAGCCGCGGCAAUACGUAUGGACCGAGCGUUGUCCGGAAUCAUUGGGCGUAAAGGGUACGUAGGCGGCCUAGUAAGUUAGAAGUGAAAUAAUAUAGCUCAACUAUAUAAAGCUUUUAAAACUGCUAGGCUUGAGAGAUGGAAGGGAAAGUGGAAUUCCUAGUGUAGCGGUGAAAUGCGCAGAUAUUAGGAAGAAUACCGGUGGCGAAGGCGACUUUCUGGUCAUCAUCUGACGCUGAGGUACGAAAGCGUGGGUAGCAAACAGG
This 402-nucleotide ribosomal RNA is filed under the name bacterium. RNAcentral describes it as "partial 16S ribosomal RNA". It matches the Rfam family "Bacterial small subunit ribosomal RNA", at positions 355 to 776 of the family's 1533-position model. The record is from RNAcentral.